This 439-nucleotide ribosomal RNA is filed under the name uncultured bacterium. Its description in RNAcentral is "partial 16S ribosomal RNA". It matches the Rfam family "Bacterial small subunit ribosomal RNA", at positions 339 to 795 of the family's 1533-position model. The record is from RNAcentral.
CUACGGGGUGCUCCAGUGAGGAAUAUUGCACAAUGGGGGGAACCCUGAUGCAGUAACGCCGCGUGGAGGAUGACGCAUUUCGGUGUGUAAACUCCUUUUAUAUGUCAAGAAAAUGACGGUAGCAUAUGAAUAAGCACCGGCUAACUCCGUGCCAGCAGCCGCGGUAAUACGGAGGGUGCAAGCGUUACUCGGAAUCACUGGGCGUAAAGGACGCGUAGGCGGGUUGGAAAGUCAGGUGUGAAAUCCUACAGCUUAACUGUAGAACUGCGCUUGAAACUUCUAAUCUAGAGUAUGGGAGGGGGAGAUGGAAUUAGUGGUGUAGGGGUAAAAUCCGUAGAUAUCACUAGGAAUACCUAAAGCGAAGGCGAUCUCCUGGAACAUUACUGACGCUAAGGCGUGAAAGCGUGGGGAGCAAACAGGAUUAGAUACCCCAGUAGUC